Molecule: long non-coding RNA, 566 nt
Organism: Chenopodium quinoa (quinoa)
Lineage: Eukaryota; Viridiplantae; Streptophyta; Magnoliopsida; Caryophyllales; Amaranthaceae
Exons: 2
Source: RefSeq, a predicted model, not a curated record
AGUUAAAAAAUAAAAAAAUAAAAAAUAAAAAAAAUUGUGAAACGGAGGUGGUAAAUGAUAAACUUGAAAUUUCUCCUUAAAAACCCUUGAUGAUAAAACUCUUAACAACUCACUCAAUUCACUUCUCCUUGGAUAUCCUCUCUUCCUACUUCAAGCUUUCUUCUUUGAUGAUGCUCUUGCCAUAAUUAUCUUACUAUUUAUGCUCGCCAUUGAUGUUGCGUGUUCGAUUAUCGCUUCACUUAUCCAAUUAGGAGUUGAAUGACAGAUCAGAUUUGUUCCAAAUUAUUUGUAGUUCAAGCAUCUGCGAAGAUACUGUCUAAUUUUUGUAUGAUGUGUCUCAUUAAGUAGAUUAGCCCUCCCAGACUUAGCACCUGCCUACACCAUUAAGCCAAACGGAUCCUUUGGCCAUAUACUGCCUGUAUAGAGCAUUUUUCACUCUAUAUGUGCUGUGAUUUAUUACAAAGAUCGGGUGCAAUAUCCCUUGUAUACUCUAUGUCCAGUGUAAAUCCUGUUACUAGUGGUCUUGCAAAAAUUGGAUUUCAGUUAAAUAAAUCCACUUUUCUUCA